GUGAGUCAUCGAAUCUUUGAACGCACAUUGCGCCCGCCAGUAUUCUGGCGGGCAUGCCUGUUCGAGCGUCAUUUCAACCAUCAAGCCCAGGGCUUGUGUUGGGGACCUGCGGCUGCCGCAGGCCCUGAAAACCAGUGGCGGGCUCGCUAGUCACUCCGAGCGUAGUAGUUUACACCUCGCUCAGGGCGUGCUGCGGGUUCCGGCCGUUAAAAGCCUUAUUUUACCCAAGGUUGACCUCGGAUCAGGUAGGAAGACCCGCUGAACUUAAGCAUAUCAAUAAGCGGAGGA
Molecule: unclassified non-coding RNA, 288 nt
Filed under: Chaetomiaceae sp.
Lineage: Eukaryota; Fungi; Ascomycota; Sordariomycetes; Sordariales; Chaetomiaceae
Description: partial contains 5.8S ribosomal RNA, internal transcribed spacer 2, and large subunit ribosomal RNA
Rfam family: 5.8S ribosomal RNA (bases 1-71)
Source: RNAcentral